RNAcentral lists this long non-coding RNA (209 nucleotides) under Fukomys damarensis (Damara mole-rat). RNAcentral's name for it is "lncRNA (ENSFDAG00000028529.1)". Lineage: Eukaryota; Metazoa; Chordata; Mammalia; Rodentia; Bathyergidae. The record is from RNAcentral.
CUAGGAGAGGGUUCCUACAUCCUCAACUGGCAAGGCUGACAUUUGGAGAGGUGAUCUCAGGCCUGGAUCUGUAGAUAGCCACAGGAAGCAUGAUUUCAGAAGCAAUGGUGGUCAUGUGGCAAGGACAAUAUGGUACCAGCCAGCCAGGGUGGAGCGGCACAGAGUGGAGAUGAGCCACGGGAAGGCAUGGAAGUAUUAACAGAGCACAG